CGUCUGAGGACCCCGUAGAGCAAUCCCUGUCUGGAUAAAGGAGUGAGUGUGUUCUAGACUCAGAAAACAAGGGAGAACCAGAUUAGUCAGUUCAUGGAAAUAAUGCGCCUGACUUUAUGGAAUCAUUGUUUCUCAGAGCUGAAAAAGGCCUCAGAAUAUAGACUGUUACAUCUGGGAGGAACCUUAGAACACAAAAUGUCACAACUAGAAAAGAACUUAGAACUCAAAAUGUUACAACUGGACAAGAAUUUGGAACACAAAAUGUCACAACUGGAAGAGAACUUAGAACACAAAAUGUCACAACUGGAAAAGACCUUAGAACACAAAAUGUCACAACUGGACAAGAACUUAGAACACAAAACGGCACAACUGGAAGAGAACUUAGAACACAAAACGGCACAACUGGAAGAGAAGUGAGAAGAAGGAAUGUCACAACUGAAAAAGAACUUAGAACACAAAAUGUCACAACUGGACAAGAACUUAGAACACAAAAUGUCACAACUAGAAGAGAACUUAGAACACAAAAUGUCACAACUAGAAGAGAACUUAGAACACAAAAUGUCACAACUGGAAAAGACCUUAGAAUACAAAAUGUCACAAAUGGACAAGAACUUAGAACAUAAAAUGUCACAACUGGAAGAGAACUUAGAACACAAAAUGUCACAACUGGAAGAGAAGUGAGAAGAAGGAAUGUCACAACUGAAAAAGAUCUUAGCACAUAGGAUCUCGAAGCUGGAAGAGACUUUAGAGCACAAAAGCCACAGCUGGGAGAGACCUUAAAACAGAGAAGAUCAGAGACCUUAGAACAUUGAAUGUCACAGCUGGGAAAGACCUGAGAACACAGAGCAGAAAGGAAUCUUAGAACCCAGAAUGUCACUGAUGAAAGAGACCUUAAUCAUAGCUGGAAAAAAUCUGCGAACAUAGACCCUCAGCCCUGAGGGGAACCUUAGAACAUAAAUUGUCAGAAAUGGAAAGUGUAUUAGAUCACCAGAUGUCAAAGGUUAAGUCAGGAGAAAGAGGGAUGGCUGAUCUGGGGCCCUUUGCCCACACGGCAGUUCCAGGGAGAACUUGCCAGCUGGGGAAGGGGCCUUCAGAGGUGCAGGCUGGAGGCAGCUAUGGGCCAUGACCUGCAGAUGAUGCUGGCUGGUUGGGGGUCCUUUCCCCAAAUUGUGAAAGCUGAGGCCCAGAGAAAGGAAGGGGCUUGUCUGAGGUUACACAGCAAAUUAGGGGCAGAAUCAGGACCUGGCCCAAGGGCUUCUGACCCCCAGCGCUGGUUUUUCCUAAUACCCCGCAGAGCCACUGGAGGGACGGUUCCCAAGCUGGGUUUGGGAGAUGGGGAGCAGACCCACCUGACUAGGCCCAAGUGAGCAUCUGGUGGAUGGCACACAUCUGGUAAAUUCCCAGCCCCCAAGAGACCAGGUGCACAAGCUAAUCCCAAAGAGGUGAGGGGCCCGAAGCCUGAGCAGGGAACAGACCUGCCAGAUUUCAGAGCCAGAUGCUCCCACCCUAGAGGAAGAAUUUGGACCCAGUUCUCCUGGGUUCCAGCCCUCUCCGCUCCCCCUCUCCCUCCCCCAGUGGCCUGGGUGCCCUGAGCUCGGCUCGGCCUCGGUGCCCCCCAUGGAAUAGUUAUUCCUCAAGACAAAGUUUGGGAAUGUUUGAAAUGGGGAAUCCCCCCUCCCCCCUGUCACCUCGGUGUGUAAGUGUUUUAUUGUUUGCCUGCUGAGGUGUGAAUGAAAUAAUGGGCCUUCUCUGUCACUUAAUCUGUCUUGGGUUGACAAGUCUGCUUAGACCUCGGAGCUGUUCUGUAUAAAUGCUGUCACCCUGCCAUCCCCAAACAGGCAGCUUCCUCUGAGAAACUGUAAGCAGCCCUCCUGGGCACUGAGCUCGGGCUGUCUGCAGCUCAUAAAUCAAAGCUCCCUUCCCAGAACACAGGCAGAGACACAGACAGACAGAGAGAGACACCGAGGGACAGACACAAAGAGAGAGAGACCCAGAGACAGAGACAUAAAGAGAGAUAGAGACACAGAAAGACACCAAGGGACAGACACAAAGACAGAGAGAAGCCGAGACUCAGAGAGACACAAAGACAGAGAGAACCAGAGACACAGAGACAGAGACAGAGAGACACAGACACAGAGAGAGAGAGAGAGACACAGACAGACAGAGACACUGAAGGAUAGACACUAAGACAGAGAGAAGCAGAGACACAGAGAGAGACAGAGAGAGACAGGGGAUGCAGAGAUCAUGCAGCCAAAGUGGGAGAGUCAGGGGGAGGCUGGGUCACAGGGAAGCUCUCUGGAGAUGGGUGUCAUUCUCCAUCCCUUCCUAACCACUCUUUCUGGAGACCAGACUGUCCCACUGACUGACUGUCCUUGGCCCAGGCUCGGGGUUAGUGCCAGGACUCCCCGCCCUCCCCUUACCAUACAUACACUGUCACACACACGUCUCUGAGUGGGACGGCUGCACUCUGCGGCCAGCAGGAGGGAGGCUGAGGAGGCGGCCUCCAGGAGUUCACAUUCCUGGCUUCCACCCCAGACCUGCCAUCUUGGGAGGCCGCAGGGGAGCAAGGGAGACCC
RNAcentral lists this long non-coding RNA (2576 nucleotides) under Sarcophilus harrisii (Tasmanian devil). RNAcentral describes it as "lncRNA (ENSSHAG00000024785.1)". Lineage: Eukaryota; Metazoa; Chordata; Mammalia; Dasyuromorphia; Dasyuridae. The record is from RNAcentral.